ACAUAUCUGUUUUAUAUUUUUCUAUUUGUAUUUACUGAUAUCUCAUGACAAGUUAAAAAAUUUUAAAAUUUUAACUUUGUCAAUUUUUUAUCCUCUAUAGUAUUAGCCUGCUGCAAUGCACGGAUAAAGAGUGCUUCAUUAAUCACCCUAAUUAGAUAACUGACCUAUGUGAUUUUCUAAAUUAUCAACUACUAUUUCUUUUACCUUAUUUCUAUAGUUUCUUUUCUCAAUUAUUUCUCUUCCCAUCAAUUUCUUUUAUUCAUUAAUUUGUUGUUAAUUCUCCAUAUUAAUCACCCUAAUUAAACUUUUAAAUUUAAUUUUAGA
RNAcentral lists this long non-coding RNA (324 nucleotides) under Ananas comosus (pineapple). RNAcentral's name for it is "long non-coding RNA (ACOM_LNC028900)". The record is from RNAcentral. Lineage: Eukaryota; Viridiplantae; Streptophyta; Magnoliopsida; Poales; Bromeliaceae.